This 79-nucleotide transfer RNA is filed under the name Clostridium botulinum A str. Hall. RNAcentral describes it as "tRNA-Arg". It matches the Rfam family "tRNA". Rfam says of the family: Transfer RNA (tRNA) molecules are approximately 80 nucleotides in length. Their secondary structure includes four short double-helical elements and three loops (D, anti-codon, and T loops). RNAcentral also lists the same sequence under 6 other names. The record is from RNAcentral. Lineage: Bacteria; Bacillati; Bacillota; Clostridia; Eubacteriales; Clostridiaceae.
UGCGUCUUUAGCUCAGAUGGAUAGAGCAACGCCCUUCUAAGGCGUGGGCCAGGGGUUCGAAUCCCUUAAGACGCACCAA